ACGGGGGGGGUAAGCGUCGUUCGGAAUUACUGGGCGUAAAGGGCUCGUAGGCGGCCAACUAAGUCAGACGUGAAAUCCCUCAGCUUAACUGGGGAACUGCGUCUGAUACUGGAUGGCUUGGAUUUGGGAGAGGGAUGCGGGAUUCCGGGUGUAGCGGUGGAAUGCGUAGAGAUCCGGAAGAACACCAGUGGCGAAGGCGGUCUGCUGGGCGGUGGGACCGAAAGGUCUCUUGAACCGACACUGAGGCGCGACAGCGUGGGGAGCAAACAGGA
RNAcentral lists this ribosomal RNA (272 nucleotides) under uncultured prokaryote. Its description in RNAcentral is "partial 16S ribosomal RNA". It matches the Rfam family "Bacterial small subunit ribosomal RNA", at positions 525 to 777 of the family's 1533-position model. The record is from RNAcentral.